UUUUACGGAGAGUUUGAUCCUGGCUCAGGAUGAACGCUGGCGGCGUGCUUAACACAUGCAAGUCGAACGAUGAAGCCCAGCUUGCUGGGUGGAUUAGUGGCGAACGGGUGAGUAACACGUGAGUAACCUGCCCUUAACUCUGGGAUAAGCCUGGGAAACUGGGUCUAAUACCGGAUAGGAGCGUCCACCGCAUGGUGGGUGUUGGAAAGAUUUAUCGGUUUUGGAUGGACUCGCG
RNAcentral lists this ribosomal RNA (235 nucleotides) under Xanthomonas citri pv. citri. Its description in RNAcentral is "partial 16S ribosomal RNA". It matches the Rfam family "Bacterial small subunit ribosomal RNA", at positions 1 to 235 of the family's 1533-position model. The record is from RNAcentral. Lineage: Bacteria; Pseudomonadati; Pseudomonadota; Gammaproteobacteria; Lysobacterales; Lysobacteraceae.